ACUAAUGUUCCUUGGGUAAAGCUAUGGGGAAAACUGCUGAUGGAUCUAUGCAGUUUUUUCUCUGUCCUGUUGCCCCUACUUGAAUGGUUGCCCCAAUAAAAUAGUGGAAAUAGUGUGUAUUCAUUAGUCUAGAUUAGCUUUUUAUUUUUCUUUUUAGAUUACUCUUUUAAAUGCUUUAUAUUCAAGUGUAUUUGCUUCAUCAUCUUUGUUUACAUAAAUUCUACAGGAUGUGACACUAUUCCCCCAACUCAGAUUUUCAAGAAGAUAUUUGAAUUUCAGCUCCAUCUCUGAUUGCUUUAUACAUUGUGGGCUAUAUAUUGGUACUGAUAGAAAAUUAGUUUGCUAUGUUCUGAUGCAUUUCAAUUUGACUAGGAACAGCAUGCAGUUUACCAGCACCCUGUUUUAUCUGAUCGGCAUUUAUUUGCAGUUUCAGUGUGAAAAGUGGUUGGUGUUCUGGGAUGUACACAGACAGGACCCACAGUCGCUGCUCACGGGAGCUGCCUCCUUGCUACUAAUGCUGCCUGAAGGUGUAGCAGAUAUUCAAGUGCAUUUUCUUUCCCUGGAUUAAACACUUUAAUUAUUUAAGAUCUGAGGUACAGCUGCCAUAUCUUUUUUUUCUUUAUGUUCUGUUUCAAUGCUACAACUGACUUUGUUUGUUUGUCCUUGAAAACUGAAAUUUUUCUUACCCAAGAACUUGUAUCAUCUCAAUCACCGUAUAAUUGUUUGUUUUUUCAUGGCAUGUGCUCUCUUCAUGGAUUCUUGGUUGUGAAGCUGAGUAUUGAUUUUAAAAGUCUCGCCCUGUGCCCUGAGUCUGCAGGUUGCUGUUUUUGUGCUCCUAGUUCUGAAACAUGUAAACCCUCGGUCUCUCAUGUCUGAAGACCACCUGAAGGACACUGGGUCUCUCCUGCCAUUGCUCAGACACCUCUUAAAAAGGCUUGGGACUGAUGAUCAUGAACAGGGCAUUCAACUUUUUUUUUAUUUAAAGAAAAGGAAACAAAAAAAUUACAUGGAGAUAAAAAAGGGUAGAAAUAAUACAAAAUUACAGAAAAAUAAAUGGUAAGAAAUCGCUGGUUGAUAAGUUACAUAUUGUCAUCUUAGAAAUAGCUGUUCAGGUUACAAAAUUAAUGUAUUUAAAAUGACAUUCAAGGGGCUGGGGAUUUAGCUCAGCAGCAUAAGCGCCUGCCUUGCAAGCAGGCAGUCGUGAGUUUGAUCCUCAGUACAGAUAAAAAGGAAAAAGACAAAAAAAAAUGAUAUUCAAAACGUGACACUGCCAACAGUUCUGCUCAAUGAUCGAACAAAAACUCAGUAAUAUGGUUGUCAGUCCUACACACCUGUUUUACAUCUCAAAGAGGGUAAGAUUAAACAUAUCAAAACAAAACAAAACAGUUAAAAAAACAAUUUAAAGAAAUACAGAUUUCAAAGCAAGUCCACUGGAGAUCUUCACUGUCUAUCUAACUGUCUCUAGUUUCUUACAGUCUUCACCCACAUUAUAUAUAUAUAUUGCAUAUUAUAAAACUAAUCAAAUCAUUACAGGAUGAUGAAGGCUUUUUAGGUCUUCAAGAUCUGACAUUGGGGAAGACAAUAAUAACUACCAUUGCAUCUCAUCACACCUCUUAUUCUCAUCGUGAUAGCCAUCCCCAUCUUUACAUAUGUUGAAAUUGAACUUAUGAGACUAGACUAAUAUCAUUCUGAUCAGUGAAUAAUAGUAUUGCUAGAAUUUAUAUCAUAAUGCUACAAAAUUAGCAUUGGGUUUCUUAGUGUCUCUUCUUCACAGUAUCUGUUCAUUACAUCUUGCAUUAUAUAAUCUGUUCCCGUAAAUAAUUUUAAAAAAAAAGUCUCAUGUGUGAAUUUCUACAUAUAUAUCUAUCCUCUCUGUAUUAUAGGGAAGAAUAAAUCAUAACAAGACAGCAAAACAAAUUCCUAGAAAAACAUGCAAUGGAUAAGACAUAUAAGACCACAAUAUAGGUGAUCUUCCGUAGUUACUAUGUUUUCUCUUGUUAUUUUCAAUAGAUUUGUCCACAUCAUUGACUUAAUAUAGUUAAACAUAGUAUUACCUAUUUUUAUAAAAACACAACUUUGAAAGCAUUGUAGGAAUUGAGAGCUGUUAAUAAUUAAGGGGCAUUCAACUUUAAAAAAUGAUGCAGUAUUUUAGUUGAUUGUAUUUGUCUCCAGAAUUCAGCGGCCUCAGUGUAAGGUCCUCUUUGGGCACCAAAGUUCCUUUUUCAUUUUGUUAUAGCCACUUUCUUUUAUAUAUUUCCUGCCUUGGUCAUUUCUCAAUGGCAGAUUUUGUUUCCUUUGAUUGUUUUCUGGGUACUUGGGCUGUUGUCUCAUCCAUACUUGCCACUAUUCAGUAUUAGGAUGUGUUGACAUUUAGCCUUGUGCCCGUGAGGUGCAGUGGCACACCAUGACCUGUAGCCCGAAUCUGCUGGUUCAACUCCUAGGCCAAGCCCGGAAGAUGCACUGUGCUUAAUACCAUUUGCUUGUUCCUCUGGAAUUCUUCAUACAGCUCUGGCCUUGCACACCGGCCAAAUUUGCUGGUUACUCCUUUGGUGUAAUAUGAAGAAUAGUGGUGGAGUUAACAGGUCCUUUGUGGGGUUGCUGGGGUUUACUGUGCCCUACUGCAGAUGUACUUUGUUGAAUUCUGUGUGGUCUUUGUACACUAUCUUCACAACAUCCCCAAAGAAGAAUCCCUGUGCCCGUGGCGCAGCAGCCUUGUUCCACUGAGCCUGCUUUCAAGCCAUCACGAACUGUGGUCCUGGGCUACUGGGCUCACCUGGAUGAGGACUGUGAGCUGCUAAUGUCCUUGUGUAGCCCUGGCCAGAGUGCUACCAGAGCUGGACCACAGAAUGGCAACAAUGCCUCCUCCUGCUAGGGAGGAAGAUGUGCUUCUUGCCAGCUGUGUAAGACACAGCAUCUCCAGGGUGCUCUGCCACUCUGCUGCACAUGCCUCGCUGGCCUGGAUUCUUUUCUCCACACUCCUGGCUUCUGGAGCAUGAUAAUCUAAAUGAUGCAGUUUGGAGGCAAGUAAGUGAAAGUUUGCUCUGCCUUGAGUAACAGCUCUUUAUGUGAAAAGCCAUCUGUCACUUAAAAUUUUUAAAACUGAAUUUAUUUUAAUUUCUCCAAGGGAAAUUUCUACUUAAAGGAAACUAGCAGUCAGAUUUCUAGAAAGCCUCCAUGUUAGAUACAAAUAACCAUAAAUUUAUCUGUUUUAUAAGUUCGAAGUUUAGAGUCUAUCUCAUUGUAAAUUUGUGGUUAUAUUCUUAUUAAGCUAUUGGGAAUUUUUUUCAAAUUAUGAGGCAAUAAUUUAUAGCAUAAACUGAAUAAAUUCCUCGAUGCUCAAAAUCAAUAUCUUUCAUACAUGUGAUAUAAAUAUACUUCUGAGUGACACUGUUAUGUGAAGUGUGAAGGAGCAAGGAAUAAUUUAAUUAGAUCAUAAUAUAGAAGGAGACUUAGAAGCAAAGAAUUUUGAAGAGUAGAAAUCAUAGCUGAAAAAAUUACUUGCAGAUUUGUGUAGGAAUUUUCUUGGGGAACUGUUUUGUCUCAAGUUAUUGCCAGAAGCUAGUUAAAUUUUCUUUAAAAUUAAACCUUGGAUCCCCAAGCAGUGCAUAGCUGCCUACAUUCUAUCUAAUGAGCCAAAGUAUGCGCAGCAAUCUCCAGCCCAUGGGAAAGCUUUGGUGCUUCACUUGGAGACUAGUAAGGUUCCACCCAGUGACCCCAAGUGGCCAGAGUCAUCUGGUAAGAUCUGUCUAAGGACCUCCACUCAACUGGGGAAACUCCCUGCAAUAGGAAUAGAUAUCCUGAACCCAAGAAACAACUGAGAUCUUGCUUUCAGCUUCCCUAAAGGAAUAUAUGAAAAUGAAAACAAAAGAGCAAACUACAGUCUCAAACCUCCAGCCCAUCCCAAGCAAGCCUAAGAGAUAUGGACAUAGAAAAUGUAAGCCAUACACCUGAAACUCCUCAAAUGCUAGCAAUUGAAGUAAAGAACCAACUCCAGGAAGCUAUAAAGGAACUCAGAUCAGAAAUAAUCUUCCAGGUAAAAAAAGAAAUGAUAAAUAUAAUGAAAGAAAUGCUAAACACAUCUAAAGAAGACAUAGUUAAAAAUUAGAGGAAAAAUGCAAAAAGAUGGAAACCUUCAAUGGACAAUAUUAGAAACUAACAGAAUGCAUGAAACAGAUUCAAGGAGAUAUACAGGAAUCAAAAAUUCCAUCAAAAGUUGGCAAAACUGCCUUAAUGAAAGGAAGAUACACUUUCAGGCAUUGAAGACAAGAUUGCAACUAGUGAGCAGGAAGGGAAAGAUCUUUUAAAAAUAACAAGGAAUCAGAAAAUAAAAAUUCAACAGCUGCAAGAUGAUGCAAAGUAAAAUGAUAUAAGAUUAAUAUGGAUAAAUGAAAAAGAAGCAGACAAAACAAAUGAUAUCAAGAGGCUAUUUACAGAAGUAAUAACUGAAAAUUCCCCAAACACGAGAAUGGAAACUGACAUACAGAUCAGUGAAGCAUAUAGAACUCAAAAAGAAAACUACACCCAGACAUGUAAUAAUCAACAUCCCAGAAGUCCAACAUAAAACAGAAUAUUAAUAGCUAUUAGGGAGAAGAGAAAGAUCACCUAUAAAGAAAAGCCUAUCAGAAUCACAGGAGACUUCUCAACACAAACAAUGAAGUCAAGAAGCACAUGGAGUGAAGUAUUUCAGAUCUUAAAGAAAAACAAUUUCCAACUCAGACUGAAGUACCCUGCAUAACUGUCCUUCAAAAUUGAUGGAGAAAUAAGAUGCUUCCAAGACAAAGAACAGCUGAAAAACUUCAUGACCACCAAACCAACCCUGCAAAGAAUGCUGAAAGACAUUCUAGACAGACAUAGAAAAAAAAACCCACUAAGCACAGCAAACAAUUAAACAGAGUGGAAAAGUAAGGAAUCAACAGCAGAAAGAUAACAUGUCAAAAGUAAACCAAUAUAUAUCUAUAACCAUUAAUGUAAAUGACCUCAAUUCACCAAUUAAAAGGAACAGCCUGGCAGAAUGGAUCAAGAAACAACAUCCAACCAUAUGCUGUAUACAAGAAACUCAUCUAACCCAAAGGAAACUCAUAGAAUGAAAGUCAAAGGAUGGAAUAGGAAAUCCACACCCCCACAAAAAGCAGGGAUAGAUAUUCUGUUUGCAGACAAUGUGAACUUCAAACCAAGAAUGAUCAAAAGAGAUAAAGAAGGUCACUACACAUUGGCCAGAGGAAAAUUUCAAGAUGAAGAGAUAACAAUCUUAAAUAUAUAUGCACCGAAUUUGGAAGCAUCCAGCUAUACAAAAACAAAUAUUAACAGAAAUGAAACAUCAAAUAAGCAAAAACACAAUGAUAAUAGGAGACCUUAACCCCCCAUUGACAAAAAGAAACAGAUCAGAUAGACAGAAAAUCAGCACAGAAAUAACAAAACUGAAUCACACUUGUGAACAAAUAGACUUGGUAAACAUAUACAGAGUGUUCCACCCAACAACAUCAGAAUAAACAUUCUUCUCAGCAGCACAUGGGAAUUAGACCAUAUACUAGCCCACAGAAUAUGCUUAAGUAAAUGCAAAAGAAUUGAAAUUAUCUCAUGCAUGUUAUCGGAUCAUAGCACCAUGAAACUAGAAAUUAAAGACAAAAGAAACUGCAAAAACCACACAAGCACAUGGACAUUGAAUAAUACACUCCUGAGCAAUCAGUGAGUCACAGAAGAAAUUAAAGAAGAAGUUAAGCAAUAGCUACAAGCAAAUAAAAAUGCAAAUAUAACUUACCAGAACCUGUGGGAUGCAAUGAAAGCAGUCCUCAGAGGAAAAUUUAUUCUUGUGAAUUCCCGUAUCAGGAAAACAGAACACACACAAAUAACCUGAUGCUACACCUCGAACAUUUAGAAAGAAAAGAGCAAGUCAAGCCCAAAGCCAAAAGAAGGGAAGAAAUUAUAAAGAUCAGAGCAGAAAUCAGUGCAAUAGAGACUAAGAAAAUGAUACAAAGAAUCAAUGAAUCAAAGAGUUGGUUCUUUGAAAGAAUAAAUAAAAUUGAUAAGCAAACCUUAUUAAAAAAGGAAAGAAAAACUCAAAUCAUUGCAAUUAGGAAUGAGAAUGAUAAAAUCACUACAGGCCCUGUGGAAAUAUAGAUGAUCAUCAAUACCUAUUUUGAAAACCUCUACUCUCAUGGGCUUGAUAAAACAGAAGAAAUGGACAGAUUCCUAGAAACAAAUGAAUUACCAAACCUGGAUCAAGAUGAUGUAAAACUGCUGAAUAACCCAAUUUCAAUCAAUGAAAUUGAAAAUGUAAUUAAGACCUUACCAUGAAAGAAAAGUCCAGGUCCAGAUGGAUUCACUGUGGAAUUCUUUAAGAAAUUCAAAGGGGACUUAAUGCUGAUGUUUCACAACUCUUGAAAUUGAAAGGGAAGCAAUUCUCCCUAACUCAUUCCUGGAUGCAAGCAUUACUCUAAUAUGAAAACCAGAGAAAAAUCCAACUAAAAAAGAGAACUACAGGCCAAUCUCCCUAAUAAACAUAGAUGGAAAAAUUCUCAAUAAAAUAUUGGCAAACAGAAUGUAACAAAUCAUCAAGAAGAUUAUAUACCACAACCAAGUGGAAUUCAUCUCAGGAAUGCAGGGAUGGUUCAACAUAUGCAAAUCAAUAAAUGCAAUCCACCAUAUCAAUAGAGCCCAAAAUAAUUACAUGAUCAUUUCUAUAGAUGCAGAAAAAGCUUUUGAUAAGACCCAACAUCAUGGUAAGAACCUUAUAGAAAAUUGGAAUAGAUGGUCUUUAUCCCAAUAUGGUAAAAGUUGUUUAUGACAAACCAACAGCCAGCAUCAUAUUAAAUGGCCAAAAGCUAAAAGCUUUUACUCUAAAAUCAGGCACAAGACAAGGAUGUCCAUUAUCACCGCUCCUAUUCAAUAUAGUUCUGGAAAUACUAGCCAGAGCAAUUAGACGAGAGAGAAAUAAAAGGAGUAAGGAUAGGAAAAGGAAUUAAAUUAUCAUUAUUUGCAGAUGACAUGAUACUCUACAGAGAAGACCCCCAAAACUCCAUUGAAAGACUCAUAGGUAUAAUAAAUUCAGUAAUGUAGCUGUAAAAAAAGUCAACACUCAAAGAUCAAUAGCAUUGCUAUACAGAAACAACAAAAUUACUGAGAGAGAAACAAGCCACAUUCUUCACAAUAGCAUUUAAAAAAAGAAGAAAUUCUUAGGAAUCAAUUUAACAAAAGAAGUAAAAAAAUCUAUUCAGGGGAAACUAUAUUACCCUGAAAAAAAAGUUGAAGAGGAUCUCAGAAAAUGGAAACACAUUCCUUGUUCAUGGAUAGGAAUAACAAAUAUUGUGAAAAUGGCCAUUCUUUCAAAAUUAUUAUACAGUGUUAAUGUAAUCCCAGUCAAAAUACUACUAGCAUACCUCAAAGAUCUAGAGAAGUCAUUCCUAAAAUUCAUCUGGAACCAGAAAAGACCUAGAAAAGCAAAGGCAAUUCUGAGCAACAAAUGCAAGGCAGGAGACAUCACAAUCCCUGACUUGAAGUUAUAUUACAAAGUUACUGUAAUAAAAUCAGCAUGAUACUGGAAAAAAAACAGACUUGAAGAUCAGUGUAGUAGAUUAGAAGAUACAAGUACAAUCACAAACACACUCAGCCACCUUAUCUUUGUAAAGGGGCUAAACACGUUCACUGGAAGAAAGAUCGUCUCUUUAUAAAUGGUGCUGGAAAAACUGGCUUUCCAUAUGCUGAAAACUAAAACUAGAUCCAUGCCUAUCACCACGUUUCCUUUAUACAUCAGAGAUCUAAAUAUUAAAACAGAAACACUAAGUCUAUUGGAAGGCAAAUUAGGUAAAAAACUUAAAGACCUAAUUGUGGGUAGAGAAUUCAAGAACAAAACUCAAACUGCACAGGAAAUACUUCCCAGAAUCAAUAACUAGGAUCUCAUCUUAUUAAUACAUUUUUGCAGGUCAAAAGGAAUCUCCAGCAGAGUGAAAAGGAAAUCCAUGAAUUUUGAAAAAAUCUUAGUCAACUGUCCCUUAGAAGUUUAAAAAAUCAGAUCCCCCAAAUUCAAAGACCCAAUCCAAAAAUGGGCAUCUGAGAUGAAUACACAGUUCUCAGAUAAAGAAAUACAAAUGGUAAAUAAAUACAUGAAAAAAUGUUCAGCAUCAUUGUUCAUUAGAGAAAUGCAAAUUAAAACCACACUGAGAUUCCAUUUCCCUCCAGAAAGAAUGGCCAGGAUCAAGAAAACUAUUAACAACAAAUGCGGGGGAAAAGGAACUCUUUUGUACUGUUGGUGGGAGUGUAGACUGGUACAACCACUAUGUUCUCGUCUAUGUCAGUCUGGAAGUUCCUCAAAAAACUGGGAUUGGAAGUCCCAUUUCACCCAGCUAUUCCACUUCUAGGCAUAUUCCCAGAAGAAUCAGAAACAUCAUAUCACAGUGAUAUAUGUGCACCCAUGUUUAUAGCAGCACAAUUUGUAAUAGCCAGAUCUUGAAAACAACCUAAAUGCCCAUGAACUGAGGAAUGAAUAAAAAAGAUGUGGUAUUUUUAUACAAUGGAGUACUACUCAGCUAUAAAGAAUGAUCACAUUGAGAUUAUUGUAAGUGGAUACAACUUGAGACCAUACUCAUAAAGUGAAAUAAAUCAAACUCACAUGUGUAAAUACCAUAUUGUCUCCUUAGUGUAAGAAAUAGUAAGCAUACAUAAGAUAUAAAAUCCUCAAUAAAUACAGUGAAAGAGUAAGAAUCUACUCAAAGUGGAAAAAUAAUAUCUCAGGGAAGACCAGGAAAAAGAAAAAGAAAGGGAAAAGAAAAAAAUAUCUAAAGUUGUGUAAACACACAGGAUAGCUGAUUGUGCUACAAAUUCUCUAAGUCUUGGAACAAAACAGUUGGAUUGGAACAAUUUUGCAUGCUUAUGUCCGGUGAUCUGAGGAACUCUUGAAGAUCACUACGGAAAAUAUAAACCUUAGUUCUGUUUCUACCACCUUGUUUUGAAGGCCUGUAUCGUUAUUCCUUUAGGCUCUUUGAUAUUGUUGUUUGUCUUUUUGUUUCUUAUUACUCUAGUAAUCUGUUUUGUUUUGUUUUUCUCUCUAAUACAGAAAGGUAUACAUGUAGAGGCUUAUACAUUCCUAGAACUACUUCUAAACAUUUUAUGAGAAUCAAUUAUAUUAUGUGUGAUGAAAUGAACAGCUACUUUGAAGAAAAGCAGACAUUAUGGUACCGACUGCUGAUUCUGUAUCAUCAGCUGUGAAAUCCAGUAAUGCUUCUAUUCUUUGUGUAGAGUGGUUUUAGUCUGUUUUGUAUUGUUUAAUUUCAACAUACAUGAAGGAAUAGACAGCUAUUUUGACGAGAACAAGAGACAUUAUGGCAGCCAUUGUUGAUUUUCAUAUUGUCUGGUUUUGAAGGCCUUGUAAUGACUUCAUUACCCUACUCUGAUCAGUUGUAUACUAUUUUGUUUUGUAUUAAUUCAUUGUGUUUGAAGGUAUAGACAACCAUUUAGAAGGAAACAAGAGACAUUAUGGUAGGAACUGUAGAUCUCCUGUUGUCUUGCUUUGAAAUCUUUGUCACUUACAUUGUUGUUUUUCUGAUCUGCUUUGUUCUGUUUAGUUUCAUCCUUUUUUAAAUAAAAUAAAAUGUAAAAACUAAACCUCACUUAUGUCAACCAUAAUGAUUUGAAAGUUUAGCAUGGUCAGGACAUCCCUUUUGCUUGCUUGCCUGUGUUUCAUGUACACAGGGGAGUUUAUCAGGAGUCACAGAUGAUUUUUCUAACUAGUCUGUCAGACUGCAGUGAUGCUUAUAUUAAAAGCAAAACAUAUAUUUAGGCAUAGUGAUUUUACUCUAGUAUAUUCUCAAGUUCUCUCUUUUUUUGCUAUUCAUUUAAAAAAUUUUAAUAACCAAAUUUUCAGAGUAUUAAAGAAAGUGGGACAGAGAGCAUCUUUUAUAUUCUAGGUGCUCAGACAUCCUGCGUUUUCAUGAUCCCAGCCAGCCAAGAUCUUGGAGGAUCUUGACAGACGGUCAUUGUUGGUCUACAUGAAAUUUGUGCCAUGCUGUGGGGCAGAGCACAACUUCCCCUGCAACAGAUGUGACUUUUCUCCUUUAGGCUGCAGAUUGCAGAGACACUGAACAAUGCUAGUAACAUCUAAACCAAGCCUUGUGGGUCUCUUGUGAAGAACACAGCGGCUGCUGGGUGAGAAGGAUUCUCUCUGAGAGUUUUUUACAUCACCUUAGCCACUGGGAUUUGAUCUCUUUACAGGGAUACAUUAUGGUUUAGAUCUAAAAUGUACCCCAAAAGUUCAUGUACUCUGAGGUGAGGCUUUUGAAAGAUAAUUGGAUCGAGGGUAACUGAUUAGUCACUGCCGCAUCAGUGACUCGAGUCCAGUGGGGUUAGAGGCAGCGUGGGUUCCGCAAAGGGGCCACCAGGGAUGUGAUGCAGAGCAGGGGUUCUUGUUCCUGCGUCCUCCCUUGUCACUCUGCUUCCUGGUUUCCUGGAGUGAAUAGCUGUCUCCACCAUGCCUUCCACCAUGCUGUUUCUGCUCAGUGCUAUUUGACUGUGAGCCAGGCUACCGCGAGUCAAAUUAAAUCUCUCCUUCUUCACGCUGGGGGUGCUGUCUGCUGUCUCAUUGCUGGGACAGUGACUAACACGUGUCAUAAACCCAGAGACUGAUGGUUACCUUUAGAUUUGUUUUGAUUCCACUUGUGGUAUCUCAGAAAUUCUGGUUUUUUCAUCAGCAAAAAUUCAUCAUUGAGAUAUUCUUCUUGCAUUUUGCUAAGCAUAAAUGGUAAUUUCUGUGAAUCAUGUGAUGGUGGUCACAGAGAGACCACAGGCUCUUUGACUGCUCACUGUUCUUAAAUAAUCAUAGGGAAAGGAAAUUAUUUUGAACCACCCUUCAAUAAGACAUUAGUGUACCAAAAAUAAAAAGAACAUAAUGAACUAUGGUAAACUAAUAGGAAAUUCAUAAUAAUUUCACAAACGGUACUGAGGAAAAAUUCAUUUAGUCUUUUCUCACCGCAACUCAUAUGUCAAGAUAAAUCUCAGAAGGAUUACAGAGUUAAAUGUGAAACAUGAACGCACUAAGCCCACAGAAGAAAAUACAGGUGAUUAUUAAGCUGACAGGAAAGAUUUCUAAGCUUAAAAGCAAAUAGAAGAAACAAAGCAACACACUGGCUCUGUUAGACCUUAACGUCUGACUUGGCCUGUGCGCUGGGAGAAUCGCCUCUGGUAGGUGUGGACUGCACCCGUUUCUGGGCUUUGGAUGAGUGGUACUGUUGUGUCUUUCAAGGGUGUGAUCCUCAGAGCAUUGCUGGUGAGCUAAAUUAAAAUAAUGCCUGUGCCCGGGAAGGUGAGUCAUAUAAGCAGCCUGGAGUAUAUUUUAACUUAUUAGUUAAAAUAUGUAGAAGUAAAAUAUUUAUACACCUUUUCUGACCCUAAUUUGUCAAUUCUCUCUAUUAGAAUAACUUGUUACAAUCAAACAUUUAUGAAAUUAUUGUGAUGAAAAGUAAGAGUGGAAGGAGGGAGGAGACAAAGUAUUGGAAGUGGAAAAGGAGGGGAAAGGACAGAAGAGGCAGGAGAAGUGAAGGGAGGGAAAUGGGAGGCAUCUUCACGUCACACAGAAGGUUAGCAAAGCCAGCUGGAGAUUAGAAGCCGGAGGGACUGAGGGCUGGGGUAUCCCUGGUGGAACUUCUUUUUGGUUCUUGACAUCAAGGAACAGCUCAGGCUCAGACGUGGGGUUGCUCCUCGGCGAGGUCUGCCUGCAGGACCUGAAGACCUCGGUGUGAGUUUUGUUCCCACUGCCCUCCUUUCUUGGCACUUUUGGUAAGCAGCUCUUUCUUAACCCUUUAGGAUUCAGGCCUCUUGCAUGUCAGGGCCUGCCUCUCCCCAUUCAUUCCACUCCCCGGCUAAGCUGGCAAAACUUUUCUCUGCCCAGUCACAUAGUUGUCCCGUCCUGAUUUGCAGCGAGUCUUUGGAGGGCAGUUUAUUUUCCUGUGUCACUUGUCACAUGUGGGCUGUUUGUUUCAAAUUGAAGCCUUCUGGCGUAUGUAGCUAACCUGUUUUUGUGGUUGUGUUCACCUUUUGUGGAGCUUUUUCUGAUUCCUUACAGAUUCAUCAGAGCAAAAGCCUCCCUGACCUUUCGUACAGAAGCCUUUGCCUUUCUUGGCCAUAAAAUGAGACUUUGGGGCACUGUGUCACUUGUUCCUCCUACAGCCCUGCCUGGGAGUCAUAGUAAACCAGCUGGCCUAAUUUCUGAGAACCUACUUUUCCUCCAGCUACGCCUUCACACCGCCCUUGGUGGACGCCCUUCUGAGGGAGGUAGUAACUGUGACAUGACGAAGUGGCAUAUAUGGAGUUUUAUGUUUUCUAAGUGACUGGUGCCAUCAGGGAAGAAUUAACUAUGCAAGAAAUGGAAGUAGACAAUGAGGAGAAAGGUAUUAUCUAUUCAGUGUGCAAGGUAGAAUUCACUGGUAAUGACCAUUGCUUAACUUCAAGAUUUUUUUUAUACUGUUAUGGAUUGUUCUAGCCAAUUAAAAACGUUAGGUGUUGUCUAUAUAAUUUGGCACAAACUGUGCUUGCCGUUAGACUCCUACAGUACAGUGGGAUACAGCCCUUGCUCUUGGAACUGCUGAGAUCAUAGGAAGAACUUCAAGACCUAAUUCUAGUGCUAGUCUUCAAAAAUGUGUAUUUUGUUUUUUCCCCAUGUGUUUGACAACCUUAUACUUCAAACUGAUUUUCAUUCUGGUAAGUACUUUCUUUUAUCUUUAUUUUUCAGUGGACAAAAGCUCCCUGCUUAGGAGUUUUGGGCUGGCUUGGAAAGGAGCUGAGGAAUAUAUUUCAAUUAUCUAUCACAUUCUGAUUCAUUUGUGUUGUUCACAAAUGUGAGGCCACAGUUGCCAAUGUCUAGAUAAUAAUAUACUUCAGGUCUCUUCUGGUUCCAGAUGAAUUUUAGGAAUGAUUUCUCUAGAUCUGUGAGCUAAAUCUUGGAAACAACCCAACUGCCCAUCAAUCGAGGAAUGGAUGAAAAAAGAUGUGGCAUUUUUAUACAAUAGAGUACUACUCAGCUAUACAGAAAGAUUGUGUCAAGGCUUUUAUAAGUAAAUGGAUGUGAUUUGAUACCAUACUCAGUGAAAUAAAUCAAACUUACAUGUGUAAAUGCUAUAUUGUUUCCCUUAGUGUAAGAAACUGAAAGAACAAAUAUGAUCGAAAAUCUACAAAAUAUUGUAGAAACUGCUAUAUUACUAAUUGUAUUAGUUCUUGGAAAAGAACAGCUAAUACUCAUAUAAUUAGAUCAAUUUUACAUGUGUACAUAUAGUAAACUAAAUUACCCUUUGGAAGGUAACAAUAUGCAAUUUUAUAACCAUUGUUAAAUUCCUGUUAUCUUGUGUUGAAAACCUAUACUCUUUUUGUUUUGGGUCUGUUGUUUGUCUCUCUUGCUUUUUGCUUUUUCUUUUCUGUCUUUUCUCUCUUAGGUAAAUAAAAAAACUGCUAAAAUCUGUGAUUUUAUAUAUUUUAAACAGUUGAAAUGUAUGUGACUCAUAGCUCAAGAAAGGCUAUUAUAACAACAAUUACUAAUAAAGGAAGAAUAAAAUGAUCAGUGAAAUGAAAUGAACAGAAAUCACGGACAGUCUGCGUAUUAUGACAUUUCCCUCUCCUCCCCCGCUCUCACCCCUUCCUUAUUGAGCUGAAUUGUCAAUGUGAUGAGCCUGAUUGCUGUCCAGGGGAUUAGCAGUAAGACACUUUUUGGCAUAAGUCUCUGUGGUGCAUGGAGGCAGGACUUUGGGUCCGUAUCUAGUCUAGCUCCUUUCUCCCUGGCACUGUUCUGCUCUGUUCCCAUCCUCCUGGAAGUGGGCUGCUGCUCUGCCAUGCCCUUCCACCAUGAUGCUCCUGCCUUGGAGCAGGUGGACAGUGGCAUGAAUCCUCUGGAUCUGUGAUCCAAAUUAAAUCUCUGCUUAAAGCAGCAGCUGUUGGACAUUUUGCACGAGCAAUGGGAAUGCCCUUCCCUUUUCUUCCCUUCCACUUUAACCUCCCUCUUUUUUUUUCUUUGCAGUAGAAGUCUUUUGACUGGCAAAAAAUGAAUCUUAAUGAGGUCAAUUUGGGCCCCUUAUCAAUUCAAAUAAAUCCCUCUAUUUUAGAUAGGAUUUUUAAAAGCUUACAAACAAAAAUCCAAGGACAACACAUAAAACUUACUUUUAUCCAUAGUUGGUGAAACCUAAUGGUUCCUUGCUGGCAGUGUUUCUGGAUUCCAGUUUAAGCUUAGCUAUUGAGCCUAUCGAUUCAGUGCUUUUAUUUUGAAAUGUGAAGCACUGGAGUUCAGAAAUCCCUUCCUUCAAUAAUGGAAAGUGAAUGUUUUUCUAGGCUUAGUGGUCUAUAUUGCUAGCUUUGCAGGAACAGCUCUGUAUUUUAGUGAAAUCAAUUAUAGUCACUGACAUUGCAUUACCGCAAGGGAGACUGUCUUACACAUUUUGAAGAUAAUUGAAGUCAAAAUAAAAAUCAGGUAACAAUUGUU
Molecule: long non-coding RNA, 14449 nt
Organism: Cavia porcellus (domestic guinea pig)
Lineage: Eukaryota; Metazoa; Chordata; Mammalia; Rodentia; Caviidae
Exons: 4
Source: RefSeq, a predicted model, not a curated record